Molecule: unclassified non-coding RNA, 350 nt
Filed under: plant metagenome
Description: partial contains 5.8S ribosomal RNA, internal transcribed spacer 2, and large subunit ribosomal RNA
Rfam family: 5.8S ribosomal RNA (bases 1-105)
Source: RNAcentral
GAAAUGCGAUAAGUAAUGUGAAUUGCAGAAUUCCGUGAAUCAUCGAAUCUUUGAACGCACCUUGCGCUCCUUGGUAUUCCGAGGAGCAUGCCUGUUUGAGUGUCAUGGAAUUCUCAACUCUAUUUGCUUUUGUGAAUAGAGCUUGGAUUUGGAGGUUUAUUGCUGGUACUUGUGAUCGGCUCCUCUUGAAUGCAUUAGCUCGAACCUUUGCGGAUCAGCUAUCGGUGUGAUAAUUGUCUACGCCGUUGCAGUGAAGCAUAUCAAUGGGCUCGGCUUCCAAUCGUCCUUUACUGGACAAUGACUUUGACCUUUGACCUCAAAUCAGGUAGGAUUACCCGCUGAACUUAAGC